RNAcentral lists this ribosomal RNA (205 nucleotides) under uncultured bacterium. RNAcentral describes it as "partial 16S ribosomal RNA". It matches the Rfam family "Bacterial small subunit ribosomal RNA", at positions 568 to 774 of the family's 1533-position model. The record is from RNAcentral.
CAUGUAGGCGGCUUAAUAAGUCGAGCGUGAAAAUGCGGGGCUCAACCCCGUAUGGCGCUGGAAACUGUUAGGCUUGAGUGCAGGAGAGGAAAGGGGAAUUCCCAGUGUAGCGGUGAAGUGCGUAGAUAUUGGGAGGAACACCAGCGGCGAAGGCGCCUUUCUGACUGUGUCUGACGCUGAGAUGCGAAAGCCAGGGUAGCGAACG